Molecule: long non-coding RNA, 3189 nt
Organism: Mesocricetus auratus (golden hamster)
Lineage: Eukaryota; Metazoa; Chordata; Mammalia; Rodentia; Cricetidae
Exons: 2
Source: RefSeq, a predicted model, not a curated record
AACUCUCUCAAAGAAACAAGUUGGACCACACCUGCAAUUCCCUAUUUCUUAUGCCAUUUACCAGGCCACAGUCUCUAAACUCAUCAGCAAGCUUAAACAACCUUAAAGGCAGUGAGCCACAGAAAACUGUCUCCUUCCUUCCGGUGUAUUUUGGAAAAAAAAAAAACUGCCACGACUCACUUCCUCCUCUCACUUCUCCACGAGUUUCCUGCCAGCUUCUCUUCUUGUGUAAGAUUUAAUCUGAGGUGCUUGCAUUCUUCUGAAUUCAGACAGUGUUCCUGUGUCAGUAGUGCUGUGGAUACAGUCUCCUAGGAUCUAGUCAACAGAGGAUCUGACCUGCUAUUAAUAGACACUGUGUUUCCUGAAGAACAGAAAGCAAGGCUGUGACAAUUGAAAGAAGCCAAAUGUGAAGUCUCUGCUUCAGGAAUUCAUUUUAUGGCACUCUGGAAAAGUAACUAGAAGACUAGCUUUCCUUGCAGUGUGUUAACAGACAGAGAGCUCCCACAAACCCAGAAGCUAAGAGCAUCUUCAGGUACCAUCUGACCCCUGUGACAAAGGUCCACCCACUUUGCUGCAACUGCCUGCCUCUGGUGUUUCCAUCGAUGUGCUUGAAAAGUGUCUUCACGUGUGGCUUCCUUUGGUCUGUGACUAUAAAGAUUCCAUUACCACCGUGGAACAGGGAAUUUAGGGUGAUCUAAAUGGGUCUUCCUGGGCCAUGGUCACUCAUUGUGUCUCCAGAGUAAACUCUUGUCUCCUUUGUGAAGAGAGUUGUGUGUCUGCACACAAUGGGCAGUGACUGUCUGGGAACAGGAUAGGAGAGCACAUUGUCCUGUAGGAAAGUGCAGCAGAGAAGAGGCAGCCCAGAUAACAGCAGGCUGAGAGCGCUUCAUUGGAAUAGAGAGGGGCCCAAGCACUCCAUGGCGUGAAGGUUGAGCACACUUAAAGGUGCUGGGUGUGUGUGUGUGUGUGUGUGUGUGUGUGUUUACAGUUUGAUUGGAAGCUGGUGAGUUCUGUUCCCUCCCCAGGCAUAUUGCUCCUGCAGGUGGAAAGGAACACUCACUCUGGGGCUGAGCCAUUCCUUCUGGCCUGGGGCUACAGCUCAGAGCAUCCUGACUCAAUUCCUUCUAACCUGAGGCUCUUACUCAAAAUAUCCCAACUCUGGUAGGGUAAAACAGAAAUUAGUGUAGAUGAGUCCUCAUUUGCUGGUGGGUCCCAAAGGUGGAGUGGGAAUGUUCAGGAUGCUUCCCGGUUAGAAUAAAAGCUGCUUCUCUGGGGGCAUGAAGAAUCCAGAGAUGCUCUAGUUCAGGAAACCAUGCAGUCUUUGUUGGAGGAACUUGGUAAGAUAGCACAAAAAAAAAAAAAAAAAAAAAAAAAACCAGGGGCCAAACAAUAGAGUUAACAUAAUCAUAACCACUGGGCCUGCCAAGGGCAAGAUCCAACAUCCCCAACCAGCGAGGGGCUUUCCAGAAAGUAUUGUCUGCCCUCUCUCUGUGUUGAUUCUUUGUAGUAAUUGUCUAGCUUCCCCCCAUACUAGGCCAGGUUCAUUCACAUCACAGCACCAUUCUGCUCCUAGAUACGCACAGGUGCCCCCUCUCUCGGCAGUCAUUAAGUCCAGCCCUCUGUGGUUUGGAAGAUUGCCACAGCCAGUGAAUCUGAGUUGGUUGCAUGGCUAUGCUUUUUUUUUUUUUUACCAGGGUCAGGUCUUCCUGAAUAUUGUCAUGGUGGAAGCUUCACCCCUGCCCCUGGCGUCCAUAUACCCAGAGUCUGGAGUGUUACGGUGGAAGUUUCACACUAGCCCCUCCCCCAUCACUCUCCAUACCCUGCUGCAUCUCAGGAAGCCCACCAAACGAUGACCCCUAUCCCAGAGAUGCUCAAGACCACUCCCACAAGGUUUUUAAACUGUCCCCCAAAAAACAGACUCCUGAUUUUUCCAGUCUCCCAUUUCCUCUCUGGGGGAAUUGGAAGGCCGUCAGGGAGUGUUGUAUCCAUUAAAUGUGGGCUUUCUAAAUUCAGUUUGAAUAUGAUUUGGAUUGCUGUGUCUGGAGCGACACUUGUUGGGAUGUAGAUACUUCGCAAAUCUGAUUGGCUGUGCUGUACCUGUUGGAGCCCUAUUGCUGUUGCACAGCUGGUGGUUGCCCCUCUAGAGCCUUCUCCAGCAGUAUGGGAGUAGAAUGAGGCUUCUGUUUUUCCUGAUACUAUGAACAAGAUGUUAAUAUGCUUCCUGUGCCAGGAGAACACCUAACUCUGGAGUGAAGAAGACUGUGACACUUUUCAUUCCAGGGCAGCAAAUAUAGGUACAAUCCUGGGAUGCAAAGCAAGUUUCACUUGAUGCCCUUGCCUUGGGAACCAAAUAUAUGUGGUUUGUUUCUGGUCCUACAGAGUCAGCCUCUCUGAUUAUCUGAGUCAGGUGUUUGGCUAACCAGUGCUAAUCUGUUGACUAGUUGGUUUGUAUUACAUUAUAUUUUGUUUGACUUGGAUAGCUGUUUUAGAAAUAGCCUGUGAGUGGAGGUGGUGGGUUGAACAGCUACAGAGAUAAAGACCAGAGCCUGAUUAUAGGAAGCAUAGGAUAAUCAGGAUAUUGAAGGGUCCAGGAGUAAAGAAAUAUAAAACUGGAAGCCCAAACAUAUUGAGGAAUACGUAUGUAUGUAUGUAUUAUGCAUGUAUUUAACCUGGCAGCCGCUGUUAACGUUUAACAACCACUUUCUGCCUUUAGAGCAGACACCCUGGCAGCCGCUGUGCACACAGGGAAACUUUUAACAAUUGUCUCCCGCCUCGCAGCUUCCCAGCUAGGCAGGUACUGUGGACACAGGCUAGCUUCUAUGUAUUGCCUCCAUGGACCCCCUAGUUGAAGUCCCUGAAUUUAUACCUGUCCUCUGUGUGACUCUUUUCUCAGCCUUGUAUUCUUUCACGGAAACACUGUGUCGGCCACAGGCUUUCACAAACAUCCUAACAUCCUACAAUCAAAAGUUGUAAAACUUAAAAUGGAAUGUGAGUUAAGCCUGACCUCAAGGUUGUAAAGCUCUUGACCCCCCACCUGGUGCUGGAUUUUACUGUAAGAAGAGGCCUGAAACCAGCGCCUGUUGCCACAGUUUCAGAAGACCAAUGUCCGGUGCGAUCCAAGUUAACUGGGAAGCUCUUUGUGCCCUGUGGUGACUUUUUUUUUUAAUAAAGAUUGCUUCUGGAUUUAUA